RNAcentral lists this ribosomal RNA (532 nucleotides) under uncultured Glomeraceae. Its description in RNAcentral is "bacterial SSU rRNA". It matches the Rfam family "Eukaryotic small subunit ribosomal RNA", at positions 548 to 1077 of the family's 1831-position model. The record is from RNAcentral. Lineage: Eukaryota; Fungi; Glomeromycota; Glomeromycetes; Glomerales; Glomeraceae.
UUGGAGGGCAAGUCUGGUGCCAGCAGCCGCGGUAAUUCCAGCUCCAAUAGCGUAUAUUAAAGUUGUUGCAGUUAAAAAGCUUGUAGUUGAAUUUCGGGAUCAAUUUGCUGGUCGGGAGAACCGUACUAGUAUUUAUUGAUUUCUUUUUAUUCUGAUAAAUCAUGGAUGUCAUUAAUUUGAUGACUUUGAGGAAUCGGAACUUUUACUUUGAAAAAAUUAGAGUGUUUAAAGCAGGAUUAUUAGGCUUGAAUACAUUAGCAUGGAAUAAUGAAAUAGGACGAUUAAUUCUAUUUUUGUUGGUUUCUAGGAUUAAACGUAAUGAUUAAUAGGGAUAGUUGGGGGCAUUAGUAUUCAAUUGUCAGAGGUGAAAUUCUUGGAUUUAUUGAAGACUAACUACUGCGAAAGCAUUUGCCAAGGAUGUUUUCAUUAAUCAAGAACGAAAGUUAGGGGAUCGAAGACGAUCAGAUACCGUCGUAGUCUUAACCAUAAACUAUGCCGACUAGGGAUCGGAUGAUGUUAAUUUUUUUUAAUG